This 465-nucleotide ribosomal RNA is filed under the name uncultured Klebsiella sp. Its description in RNAcentral is "bacterial SSU rRNA". It matches the Rfam family "Bacterial small subunit ribosomal RNA", at positions 338 to 795 of the family's 1533-position model. Lineage: Bacteria; Pseudomonadati; Pseudomonadota; Gammaproteobacteria; Enterobacterales; Enterobacteriaceae. The record is from RNAcentral.
CCUACGGGGGGCUGCAGUGGGGAAUAUUGCACAAUGGGCGCAAGCCUGAUGCAGCCAUGCCGCGUGUGUGAAGAAGGCCUUCGGGUUGUAAAGCACUUUCAGCGGGGAGGAAGGCGGUGAGGUUAAUAACCUCAUCGAUUGACGUUACCCGCAGAAGAAGCACCGGCUAACUCCGUGCCAGCAGCCGCGGUAAUACGGAGGGCGCAAGCGUUAAUCGGAAUUACUGGGCGUAAAGCGCACGCAGGCGGUCUGUCAAGUCGGAUGUGAAAUCCCCGGGCUCAACCUGGGAACUGCAUUCGAAACUGGCAGGCUAGAGUCUUGUAGAGGGGGGUAGAAUUCCAGGUGUAGCGGUGAAAUGCGUAGAGAUCUGGAGGAAUACCGGUGGCGAAGGCGGCCCCCUGGACAAAGACUGACGCUCAGGUGCGAAAGCGUGGGGAGCAAACAGGAUUAGAUACCCCAGUAGUC